UACGAAGGGGUCUAGCGUUGCUCGGAAUCACUGGGCGUAAAGGGUGCGUAGGCGGGGCUUUAAGGCAGGGGUGAAAUCCUGGAGCUCAACUCCAGAACUGCCUUUGAUACUGAGGAUCUUGAGUUCGGGAGAGGUGAGUGGAACUGCGAGUGUAGAGGUGAAAUUCGUAGAUAUUCGCAAGAACACCAGUGGCGAAGGCGGCUCACUGGCCCGAUACUGACGCUGAGGCACGAAAGCGUGGGGAGCAAACAGG
RNAcentral lists this ribosomal RNA (253 nucleotides) under uncultured bacterium. RNAcentral describes it as "partial 16S ribosomal RNA". It matches the Rfam family "Bacterial small subunit ribosomal RNA", at positions 524 to 776 of the family's 1533-position model. The record is from RNAcentral.